GAGAGGAUGUAGUUGACACUGGCAAUCAGAGUCGAGUCGUACAGCUUACAAGCUUGGGAGAGAAAUCUAAAAUGACAACACACAGAAAAAGAUAAAAAUGAUUUAAGAGAACUUACUAUAAUAAAUACUUCGUCUUCAAGAUUCCAGUAUCUCACCUGGCUUGGAAGGUCGCUGACGCCACCAUGCACACAAACAUGACGCUGAAGAUUGGGUAGUCAAGCUGCAUGGAGCCCUCGGCACUGAGCACCAACAUGCUGGACACCGCCUUUACUGUGAUGACUGUGACAGAGCCUGCACACCAACCAACAAAACAGAGAAGGUGGGACAGCACGUCAGCAACAGUGUUUCUAUAACAGGAGCAGUGGAAAAAACAAAGGCAGGUCAUUGAAGGGCGUGAGCUACUAUUUUAAAGGACACUGGAGGUGUCUCAUGUGAGCAACUGAUGAGUCAUUGCUUCUACAUGAAGCUCCUAAGUUUCCCAUGUGUCCCUGCUUUUUAAUGUACAAGAUUCAUUAAACCAAAGUUGGCAACUAAGAAAAACACAUUUAGUCCAAACUUGAAAUCAGGCAACAAAAUGCGCUCUUUUAUAUUUGGCACUUUCAUUUAUGAACCAGCAGAGGGAGUGAAACACCAUAGCUGGGAGAAAACCAUCAGUUUGUACCAUUGUGCUUAAAUGAAUGCCAAGACA
Long non-coding RNA from Lates calcarifer (barramundi perch), 688 nucleotides. RefSeq lists it as uncharacterized. The record is from RefSeq and is a predicted model, not a curated record. The transcript is spliced from 3 exons. Lineage: Eukaryota; Metazoa; Chordata; Actinopteri; Centropomidae.